CAAUACUGAACUCAUAGAAUGAAUUGGGAAGUACUUCCCCUGUGUCUAUCUUCUGGAAGAGACUGUAAAAGCCAUGUGAGGACACCUAGAUGAUGUCAUUUAUGAGGAAAGGGCCUUCAUCAGACUCUGGUCCUGCUGGUGCCUUGAUCUUGGACUUCCUACUCUCCAGAACUGCACAUCAUUAAAAUAUCAACUUUGGCAGAGACGUGGAGCAAGAUGACUGCAUAGAAGUUUCUACUGAUCAUUUCCCACCGCUUCCACGGGAACACCAAGUUUGAUAUCCACACAAAGGGAGCACCUUCAAAGGAAGCAAAAAUCAGAUACAUUCCCAUUGAGGCACGAAAAUG
This 347-nucleotide long non-coding RNA is filed under the name Homo sapiens (human). RNAcentral's name for it is "HSALNT0337488". The record is from RNAcentral. Lineage: Eukaryota; Metazoa; Chordata; Mammalia; Primates; Hominidae.